GAUGAACGCUGGCGGCGCGCCUAACACAUGCAAGUCGAACGGUUAAAGCACCUUUUAGGUGUGUAUAAAGUGGCGAACGGCUGAGUAACACGUGGGCAACCUGCCCUCCUCUUGGGGAUAGCCUCGGGAAACCGAGGAUAAUACCCGAUACUUCAAUGUGGCCGCAUGACGACAUUGAGAAAGCUUUUGCGGAGAAGGAUGGGCCCGCGGCCUGUUAGCUUGUUGGUGGGGUAGAGGCCUACCAAGGCAAUGAUGGGUAGCUGGGUUGAGAGACCGACCAGCCAGAUUGGGACUGAGACACGGCCCAGACUCCUACGGGAGGCAGCAGUGGGGAAUCUUGCACAAUGGGCGAAAGCCUGAUGCAGCGACGCCGCGUGCGGGACGAAGGCCUUCGGGUUGUAAACCGCUUUCAGCAGGGACGAGGCGAAAGUGACGGUACCUGCAGAAGA
RNAcentral lists this ribosomal RNA (449 nucleotides) under Lancefieldella rimae. RNAcentral describes it as "bacterial SSU rRNA". It matches the Rfam family "Bacterial small subunit ribosomal RNA", at positions 28 to 488 of the family's 1533-position model. The record is from RNAcentral. Lineage: Bacteria; Bacillati; Actinomycetota; Coriobacteriia; Coriobacteriales; Atopobiaceae.